This 370-nucleotide ribosomal RNA is filed under the name uncultured prokaryote. RNAcentral describes it as "bacterial SSU rRNA". It matches the Rfam family "Bacterial small subunit ribosomal RNA", at positions 524 to 896 of the family's 1533-position model. The record is from RNAcentral.
UACGAAGGAUCCAAGCGUUGUCCGGAUUUACUGGGUUUAAAGGGAGCGUAGGCGGAACAUUAAGUCAGUGGUGAAAGCCUGGAGCUUAACUUCAGAAUUGCCAUUGAAACUGAUGUUCUCGAGUAUUGUUGAGGUUACUGGAAUGUUGCAUGUAGCGGUGAAAUGCUUAGAUAUGCAACAGAACACCAAUUGCGAAGGCAGGUAACUAAGCGAUAACUGACGCUGAGGCUCGAAAGCGUGGGGAGCAAACAGGAUUAGAUACCCUGGUAGUCCACGCCCUAAACUUUGAAUACUCGGUCUUGGCGAUAUACAGUCAGGGCCCAAGCGAAAGCGUUAAGUAUUCCACCUGGGAAGUACGUUCGCAAGAAUG